Molecule: non-coding RNA, 4490 nt
Organism: Microcebus murinus (gray mouse lemur)
Lineage: Eukaryota; Metazoa; Chordata; Mammalia; Primates; Cheirogaleidae
Source: RefSeq, a predicted model, not a curated record
UUCAAACUUUCAAACCCUAUGAAAUUGGUGGGCUCAAGCCAAGAUCUCCAGGGGAUAAAAGAAAUCAGGUAACGUCUUGGUUUGGGGGGUGGUGGAAUAGAACAUUGACUGAGAUCUCCCUCUGACAGGUUGAGCAGGUGGAGUCUGAAGGAGGAUCCAGAAGGCCCAGAGGGUGGAGGGAUCUGCAGGGCAGGGUGGUGGGGGAGGGGCUGUGGUUCAGCCUCCUCCUCUCAGCAUCCCCCACCCUCAGGAGCCCUUUGUGAUGAGGCCCACAGCUCUGUGAUGCAGGCCUGGGCCUUAGUCAAGACACCCAAGGGAAACUCCCAGAGCUCAGUUGCUUUAUGGCAACAGUGCGAUUCAGAAGAUGGAGAAUAAUCUCCUGCCUCUGAAAAGCAUUAGUCCCCCAUGGAUGGGCACCAGAUGCACUUCCUUGGUGUCCAAUAUCUUCCCGGUCUUUAUUUUUGGAAUGGGGCUCUUUCUCCUGUUCAUACUCUGCCGCCAGAGUAACCCAUCCUCACCACGGCCUGGGCAGCAAAGAAGCAUCAGGAAGGUGACUGAGGACUGGUCCCAGCCCCUCAGUCUUGUCUCUCAGCACCCAGUGGAGAUGACAGGGAGGCCCAAGAGCAGGGACAACAGCAGCUCUCUGAUAGGUAAGGCUCUGCCACUCUGCCUGGAGCCCCUGGGGGCGCUUAGCUUCACUGUCCCUGAGGGAGGAGCCUCUGAGGAGGUCAGCUGCAGUGGCCUGGACAGGUGGGGAGGCUCCUGGGAAGGGAAUCAGAACCCAAGCUUCUUCUCAGAUCCCUUGCUGGGAAGGAGGCCAGGUGGGCCAGGAAGGGGUGCUGCCCAGGAGGGCGUGGAGGGGGCAGGGGACCCAUAACAACCUGGAUGUGGAGGUGGGGUCCCAGGCCCAACUGUGGACAGCGGCUUGACCUGGCUAAGGCUGUCUCCUCUCUGAGGGGACCCCUGUCUUCUCCCCCACAGGGAGCAUGUGAGGACCCUGAGGGAUGGAGGUGGGAGCAGUGCAUAUAUGAUAAAGCACUGCCCACUGCACUUCCUGCUGGGGUCAGGUGGCCUUGGACACUGAUGUGUGCUCCAGGGCCUCAACCCCCAUGGUCUGCCCCAGAGGGACAUUAAGCCACUUACAAGAUCCCAAGGCCCCUCCCUCGCCCUGGAACUCAGCUCCUGAUUUCCAGCAUGCAGAGACUGCCUGAGGGAACUGCAGGCCGCUCGGGACCUGACUUUGCUUCUGCAGAGCUGCCAGGUGAAGCUCCCUGACAAGGGGGGCUCUCAUCAGCUCUCAUGCCCAGACCCCCCUGGGGAGGAGUGCAACCCAGUAUCUGCCAGUGCCCACUGGCCACGUGCAGAGCGUGUGCAAGAUGCUUCUCCUGCCACCUCGUCCCCAUUGGCAUCCCCAGCUCCCUUGACCGAGCACCCUCCGCCUGUGGCCUCCAUGCUGUCAGUACAACCUCAAGGAGACCAAUCUGACUUGAAGAAAUCCCCCCCAGGCACCGUCCCAAAGAGCUCACCUCCAGGUUACUCUUGUUUGGUGCCUGCCAUGUGGGCCAUCUCAGGCCUUGAACGCACCAUUUUGUUCCUCUCCUGGUGGUGGGCAGCCGCCAAGGCCCUGUUCUCCCCCACCUGCCACCCUGCAAGUCCCAGAAGAGCCUCUUUGCCACCAUCCACCAGAGGCUUGGUUCUGGGGAGACCCCACAUAUAGGCAGAUGGAGGCUGGUGGCCCCACUUUCCUCAACCCUGAUGUCUGGAAGCUCCUGGAAAUAUUCAUCAUUGAGGGAGCAGCAUUGAAGCUGGGGAAGGAGAAAGAAAAGGGUCACUUCUGAAACAAAUGAGGCCAGACUCCCCCUGGGGUUCUCUGGAGAAUAUAUUAAAGUCACUGGGUGAGGAGCAGGACGACAAAACCCCAUGCCCCUUCUGGAACAUGCAAGACAAACCAGAGCAGCUGUCUGGUCCUCAGGGAGAAUUCUCAGGGAGGGGUCCUUGUGGGGCAGAAGACAAGCACGGGGCCUUCCUACCCUCCCAGCCUCCUGAGUCUGCAGGUGAAAGCAUCGAGAGUAAACAGAAGAUGGGGUCCAGGCACUCUGGAAAAUUCUCUUGGAAGGGCUCCCUAGGGGCCAAAGAGAAGAGGACCCAAGUGGGGAUCUAAGAGCAAGAUCUGGAGAGAUUCCAGAAGAUCCAUGCAUAGGUUCAAGAAAUACCUCAGUGAAGGUUCUGGAGGAGGAGGGGGAGGCAGAUGGUGACUUGAUUGGGCCCCAGGAGUAUAAAUCAGGAAAUAACUUUCCCAGGGGCCCACAGAAGCAGCAGCUUGAGAAAACUCUGAAAUCUCACGUGGAGCGGAAGCUGGGGGAGAUCCGUGAGGGCAUGGUCCCUGUGCGUGUGCAGCGGUCCUGGCUUAGCGCCAGCCAUGCCGUUGCAAAGUCUGACGCCCUCACAAAACCCAGAAACCUGGGACCCCAGAGGGGUCAGAAAUGCUGUAUGAACACACCCCAGGGGCUUUCCUCCCUCGAUCCCGGCACUCAACAGACGCUACAAGUACAUAUUAUAUGGUUUUGGGUGAGGCACAGGUGGGGUUCCAACCUCCAGUCCUGGGAGCCCAUAAAUCUCCCAUAAUAAACUGGAUACAUGCAGAGAAAACCUGUUUCUCAUGUUAGCACAUCCUCUAUAUGCUAAUGGUUUCCAUUACUUCCCAAUAGAUGUGUUUUUUGUCAUCAGAGGAGGUGGCUUCUGUCCAUGGGGUGCUGGGACACAGGGAAGGGGUCAGAGUCCACUCUCCCUUAGUGCAGCUUCUAGAAGGCAGGGGCAUGGAGGAGGCUGACAGGGCCUUGCAGACCCACCCUCACCCUGGGGUCACUCACUGUACUUUGUUUUCAUAACCCAGUCAUUAAAAAGAGCCUUCAGAACUGGCAGGACUGGCAAACCCUAUGGAGACUCCACCCCGGGACCUGGCUCACCUUGUCUUUCUCCACUUUACCUCUGCUGCAAGCUCUGUGCAGCUUAUGGAAGAAAUACCCCUCAGGCUCCAGGAAUGCGCGGACUCACAGGCUCUGAAGUAGGCUGGGAAGUUUUGGGACUGGGGGUGCUGGCCUUGGGUUCAGUGGAGAGAUUUGGUCCCCAUGGUUUUAUGGUGGGGAUCAGAGGACCCUUCACAGCCCCUGCUUGUGCAGAAAUGGGCUCUGCCAGCCCCUCUGGGCUCCGCCUUGGUGACAGGAGCAUGCCCCUCCUGGCCUGAUCCUUUGAGAGCUGUGGCCAAGACAGGACCAGUGUGACUUGGUACAGAAGGAGGUGUCAGGGUCGCAGCCACCCUCCAAGGCCACCCACCUCCCCCUCUAGUGUGACUGCAUGCACAGGAGCCAUCUGGCGGUGGCACUUGGAGGACGAGGCUGGAGUGUGGGAGAAGAGUUGGAGAGGUGGGAGCCGGGCAGGCAGCAGAGCGCAUACACACCCUAAGCGGUGCCCGACGGCGCACCUGCAGGCCAAGGUGGUUGGGCAGCGGCCUCAUGGUGAGGGGCCGGACUAGGGGGCACAAAGCUGUUGCAGGAAGGUGGCUUUUCCCACUGCAUACGUGACCAGCCUAUACCAUCACCUCUGGAAUUCCAGAGAGGACAACUGGAUGACCAGCAGGAAAGCCAGUUCUCAGUACCUAUGGAAUCACAGCCUGGUGACUGUUACAGACACAUGGCCCCAGGGUUGCCGGGGGUGGGGAGUGAAGCCUGGUGGAGCAGGCCAGCGCUCAGGCUGCUCCUGGAGCUGGUCCUAUCUCGGCCAGGGAUGGGGCCGUCUCCAGGGGCCCAGCAGCAAGGGGGGCCAGGACCCCGGGAGGACUGGGGCUGAUCAGUGAUGUCAAAGAGAGACACCCACAGGGAAACCCCCAUGGAGACCUCUGACAGAUGCAUACACACAAAGACCUCUGACAGAGACGCAAAGAGAUCUUUGAGAGAUCUCCACAAAGACAAUGACAGAGACAUCUGACAGAGACCCCUCCACCAAAAUUCCCCCAGAGAUGUCUGACAGAAACCCCUACAGAGACCUCUGACAGAGCCCAGAAAGAGAACUCUGACAGAGACAGGUACAGAGCCCUCUGAGACCCCCACUGAGAGACUUCUCCAGAAACCUCUGACAGAGAUCUGCACAAAGACCUCAGCAAGAGACCCCCACAGAGACCUCUGAUAGAGACCCACACAGAGACCUCAGAGAUCUCUGAAAAUGACCAACAUUGAGAGGCCCCACAGAGAUACCUGGCAGAAACCCCCACAGGACCUCUGACAAAGUCCCCCAUAGAUAACUCUGAUAGUGACACAAACAGUGACAUAACAGAGACCCCUAAAGAGACCUACAGAGAGCUCUGACAGAGAUACAGAGACUUCCAGAGACCUCUGACAGAGACCCCCACACAAACCACUGACAGAAAUCCCCACAGAGAAUUCUGGCAGAGACCUCACAGGGAUCUAUGACAGAGUUCCCCACAGAGUCCUCCA